GUAGGAACAGGAUUUGACGUGCUGCGGCUCUCCCUAAAACCGGUGUGAUCCUACCACAGUGGGAGUCUGGGGGAUUAGCAGCACGUCAUUACACAGCUCUUCGAGCAGUAUGAAUCGGCCUCGUACACGAUUUGGGAGAGUCACAAGCUAGUGACAAAUAUUUGUUCUCUUUAAUUAUGGGUAGCAUGGGAGGACAGCCCAGGUCGCUGCAGCUCUCCUCCCCCAUCACUCUGACAGCUUCAACACCACCUGCUCUUGGAGCAAACAGAAGCUGACACAGGUGAAAUCCAUGCUGAUUUUGGGGCUGGACUUCACAGCCAUGUAAUGUGAGAGCACGUGCUUUAUUUCUACGUACUGGCAAGGAAGCUGGGCACACCUAAGACAUCACCGUCAUUCCUGUUCAUUUGCCUUUUAGAAGAAGUCAGGCAGAGAGGAGUGAAGGGGGCUGUACCUGCUGUGUGUUGUGAAACUCCACCAGAAGAAGGCAAAGCCGUACUUGGAGCUGCAGAAUAACGCCCUGUCCUUCUGCCCAGCUCAUGGUCUGCUCAGCACAGGUCAACACCGGACAGGUUUGGGCACCAGCAGGGACAGGUUUGCUGGAGUUUCACAUGGAAAAAGCGUCACAGCAGCAGUGAUGAACGUACAGUCCUGGAUGCCGUAAUUGUCUGGGAGAGCUACCAGCCAAACAUCUACCACCCUGCUCUUUCCGAGACAGACAUGGGCUAUGGGCAGUCCUGUUCUGUUCAUAGCAGAGUCUGCAGAGAACUGGGGUCCUGAUCCACACCAGGGGCUCCGUGGGCAGUUGCAAUGCAAAUAAUAAUAGGUACAGAUGAUACAUCUGAUCAAGAACAGAUUUAAGACUUUGAAAAUCAGGAUUGGUGCUGUUCCUGCACAGAGAGUAUGCACAGAGAUUUGUCUAAAUUUUGCCCUCAGUAGUCCAACAAUUUAGGCUUUAUAAAAUGUUUCUCCUCCUUAUAAGCAGCCCCUGCAAACCCCUGGAAAGACCAUGACCAGAAUAUAGAUACUGUUAUGCAUAUUCAGUAUUUAAUACCUUUGAGUUUUUCUGCUAACAUUUGUCUUUUUUUAUGACUCUUCUCACACAGCCAGAUUUCAAAAGACUGAUUUAGAGAACCCUUAAUAGGCAAAUUAUUAAGUUGUUCUAUGAAAAAGAAAAGCCUCCUUCUAAAAUGCUCUUUGAGAUGGCUAACACCCCACUGCUUUUAUCAUUGUCUCAAAAGGUGGAGCAACCCUACCAUGAUUAAUUUUUCAUGCACUGGGUAGGAAGGGAUAAUUAGAGUGCUCUUCAUACAGAUUGUCUGCAACUGCUUUCUAAUUAACUAAUUGACUACAGAGCUAAUGAGAUUCAAAAUUAAUUUUUAUAUUCGAAUUUGGCCAGACCUAUUUUAAGAACCGUGAAGACAGAUUGGCCAGAAGCUUUCAUUUGAUGUCAAAUAGAGCGUUUUUUUUGGAAAUACUGUUAUAUUAUCUCCUGGGUGAGUAUUUUGCAAUGGCUUUUGCCUCUACCUAGUGGCUGAAAGAUGAAAUGCAUGGUUCUUUUUUUUUUUUUUCCUCUUUUGGUGGGAAUUCUGCAAUAAGAAAAUAUAUCAGAAGAAAAUAUAUAGAAACAUGAAACCCACGCUAAGCUAUGGCUAUCUCUGGACUCACUUUUGCCCAUUCCACAGUCUGUUGAAAAAAAAAAAUGUUGUAUAGGAUUUGUGUUGUGGAUAUGUGAAUAAAUAUGGUGUAUUUAUAGAGC
Molecule: long non-coding RNA, 1756 nt
Filed under: Anser cygnoides (Swan goose)
Lineage: Eukaryota; Metazoa; Chordata; Aves; Anseriformes; Anatidae
Description: lncRNA (ENSACDG00005001850.1)
Source: RNAcentral